RNAcentral lists this ribosomal RNA (249 nucleotides) under uncultured Actinomycetales bacterium. RNAcentral describes it as "partial 16S ribosomal RNA". It matches the Rfam family "Bacterial small subunit ribosomal RNA", at positions 82 to 334 of the family's 1533-position model. The record is from RNAcentral. Lineage: Bacteria; Bacillati; Actinomycetota; Actinomycetes; Actinomycetales.
CGGAGGUACUCGAGUGGCGAACGGGUGAGCAACACGUGGGUGAUCUGCCCUGCACUCUGGGAUAAGCCUGGGAAACUGGGUCUAAUACCGGAUAGGACCGCACUUUAGUGUGUGUGGUGGAAAGUUUUUUCGGUGUAGGAUGAGCCCGCGGCCUAUCAGCUUGUUGGUGGGGUAAUGGCCUACCAAGGCGGCGACGGGUAGCCGGACUGAGAGGUUGGUCGGCCACAUUGGGACUGAGAUACGGCCCAG